This 492-nucleotide ribosomal RNA is filed under the name uncultured bacterium. RNAcentral describes it as "partial 16S ribosomal RNA". It matches the Rfam family "Bacterial small subunit ribosomal RNA", at positions 29 to 507 of the family's 1533-position model. The record is from RNAcentral.
AGUGAACGCUGGCGGUAGGCCUAACACAUGCAAGUCGAACGGCAGCACAGUAAGAGCUUGCUCUUACGGGUGGCGAGUGGCGGACGGGUGAGGAAUACAUCGGAAUCUACUUUUUCGUGGGGGAUAACGUAGGGAAACUUACGCUAAUACCGCAUACGACCUACGGGUGAAAGCAGGGGAUCUUCGGACCUUGCGCGAUUGAAUGAGCCGAUGUCGGAUUAGCUAGUUGGCGGGGUAAAGGCCCACCAAGGUGACGAUCCGUAGCUGGUCUGAGAGGAUGAUCAGCCACACUGGAACUGAGACACGGUCCAGACUCCUACGGGAGGCAGCAGUGGGGAAUAUUGGACAAAGGGCGCAAGCCUGAUCCAGCCAUACCGCGUGGGUGAAGAAGGCCUUCGGGUUGUAAAGCCCUUUUGUUGGGAAAGAAAAGCAGCAGGUUAAUACCCCGCUGUUCUGACGGUACCCAAAGAAUAAGCACCGGCUAACUUCGUG